GAUGAACGCUGGCGGCGUGCUUAACACAUGCAAGUCGAACGGAAAGGCCCUGCUUUUGUGGGGUGCUCGAGUGGCGAACGGGUGAGUAACACGUGAGUAACCUGCCCUUGACUUUGGGAUAACUUCAGGAAACUGGGGCUAAUACCGGAUAGGAGCUCCUGCUGCAUGGUGGGGGUUGGAAAGUUUCGGCGGUUGGGGAUGGACUCGCGGCUUAUCAGCUUGUUGGUGGGGUAGUGGCUUACCAAGGCUUUGACGGGUAGCCGGCCUGAGAGGGUGACCGGCCACAUUAGGACUGAGGUACGGCCCAGACGCCAACGGGAGGCAGCAGUGGGGAAUAUUGCACAAUGGGCGGGAGCCUGAUGCAGCAACGCCGCGUGCGUGAUGACGGCCUUCGGGUUGUAAACCGCUUUCGCCUGUGACGAAGCGUGAGUGACGGUAAUGGGUAAAGAAGCACCGGCUAACUACGUG
RNAcentral lists this ribosomal RNA (468 nucleotides) under uncultured bacterium. RNAcentral's name for it is "partial 16S ribosomal RNA". It matches the Rfam family "Bacterial small subunit ribosomal RNA", at positions 28 to 507 of the family's 1533-position model. The record is from RNAcentral.